GAUGAAGAACGCAGCGAAAUGCGAUAAGUAGUGUGAAUUGCAGAAUACAGUGAAUCAUCGAAUCUUUGAACGCACAUUGCGCCCCUUGGUAUUCCAUGGGGCAUGCCUGUUCGAGCGUCAUUUGUACCUUCAAGCUCUGCUUGGUGUUGGGUGUUUGUCUCGCCUCUGCGUGUAGACUCGCCUUAAAACAAUUGGCAGCCGGCGUAUUGAUUUCGGAGCGCAGUACAUCUCGCGCUUUGCACUCAUAACGACGACGUCCAAAAGUACAUUUUUACACUCUUGACCUCGGAUCAGGUAGGGAUACCCGCUGAACUUAAGCAUAUCAAUAAGCGGAGGA
Molecule: unclassified non-coding RNA, 337 nt
Filed under: soil metagenome
Description: partial contains 5.8S ribosomal RNA, internal transcribed spacer 2, and large subunit ribosomal RNA
Rfam family: 5.8S ribosomal RNA (bases 1-120)
Source: RNAcentral